GAUGAACGCUGGCGGCGUGCCUAAUACAUGCAAGUCGAGCGAACGGACGAGAAGCUUGCUUUUCUGAUGUUAGCGGCGGACGGGUGAGUAACACGUGGAUAACCUACCUAUAAGACUGGGAUAACUUCGGGAAACCGGAGCUAAUACCGGAUAAUAUUUUGAACCGCAUGGUUCAAAAGUGAAAGACGGUCUUGCUGUCACUUAUAGAUGGAUCCGCGCUGCAUUAGCUAGUUGGUAAGGUAACGGCUUACCAAGGCAACGAUGCAUAGCCGACCUGAGAGGGUGAUCGGCCACACUGGAACUGAGACACGGUCCAGACUCCUACGGGAGGCAGCAGUAGGGAAUCUUCCGCAAUGGGCGAAAGCCUGACGGAGCAACGCCGCGUGAGUGAUGAAGGUUUUCGGAUCGUAAAACUCUGUUAUUAGGGAAGAACAUAUGUGUAAGUAACUGUGCACAUCUUGACGGUACCUAAUCAGAAAGCCACGGCUAACUACGUG
RNAcentral lists this ribosomal RNA (497 nucleotides) under uncultured bacterium. RNAcentral's name for it is "partial 16S ribosomal RNA". It matches the Rfam family "Bacterial small subunit ribosomal RNA", at positions 28 to 507 of the family's 1533-position model. The record is from RNAcentral.